GGCGGGGUAGCUCAGGUGGUUAGAGCAGCGGAAUCAUAAUCCGCGUGUCGGGGGUUCGAGUCCCUCUCCCGCUACCA
This 77-nucleotide transfer RNA is filed under the name Rhizobium sp. Its description in RNAcentral is "tRNA-Met". It matches the Rfam family "tRNA". Rfam says of the family: Transfer RNA (tRNA) molecules are approximately 80 nucleotides in length. Their secondary structure includes four short double-helical elements and three loops (D, anti-codon, and T loops). RNAcentral also lists the same sequence under 100 other names. The record is from RNAcentral. Lineage: Bacteria; Pseudomonadati; Pseudomonadota; Alphaproteobacteria; Hyphomicrobiales; Rhizobiaceae.